RNAcentral lists this ribosomal RNA (863 nucleotides) under uncultured bacterium. Its description in RNAcentral is "bacterial SSU rRNA". It matches the Rfam family "Bacterial small subunit ribosomal RNA", at positions 8 to 853 of the family's 1533-position model. The record is from RNAcentral.
AGAGUUUGAUCCUGGCUCAGGACGAACGCUGGCGGCGUGCCUAAUACAUGCAAGUAGAACGCUGAAGAGAGGAGCUUGCUCUUCUUGGAUGAGUUGCGAACGGGUGAGUAACGCGUAGGUAACCUGCCUUGUAGCGGGGGAUAACUAUUGGAAACGAUAGCUAAUACCGCAUAACAAUGGAUGACACAUGUCAUUUAUUUGAAAGGGGCAAUUGCUCCACUACAAGAUGGACCUGCGUUGUAUUAGCUAGUAGGUGAGGUAAUGGCUCACCUAGGCGACGAUACAUAGCCGACCUGAGAGGGUGAUCGGCCACACUGGGACUGAGACACGGCCCAGACUCCUACGGGAGGCAGCAGUAGGGAAUCUUCGGCAAUGGGGGCAACCCUGACCGAGCAACGCCGCGUGAGUGAAGAAGGUUUUCGGAUCGUAAAGCUCUGUUGUAAGUCAAGAACGGGUGUGAGAGUGGAAAGUUCACACUGUGACGGUAGCUUACCAGAAAGGGACGGCUAACUACGUGCCAGCAGCCGCGGUAAUACGUAGGUCCCGAGCGUUGUCCGGAUUUAUUGGGCGUAAAGCGAGCGCAGGCGGUUUGAUAAGUCUGAAGUUAAAGGCUGUGGCUCAACCAUAGUUCGCUUUGGAAACUGUCAAACUUGAGUGCAGAAGGGGAGAGUGGAAUUCCAUGUGUAGCGGUGAAAUGCGUAGAUAUAUGGAGGAACACCGGUGGCGAAAGCGGCUCUCUGGUCUGUAACUGACGCUGAGGCUCGAAAGCGUGGGGAGCGAACAGGAUUAGAUACCCUGGUAGUCCACGCCGUAAACGAUGAGUGCUAGGUGUUGGAUCCUUUCCGGGAUUCAGUGCCGCAGCU